Molecule: ribosomal RNA, 261 nt
Filed under: uncultured prokaryote
Description: partial 16S ribosomal RNA
Rfam family: Bacterial small subunit ribosomal RNA
Source: RNAcentral
UACGUAGGUGGCAAGCGUUGUCCGGAUUUAUUGGGCGUAAAGGGAGCGCAGGUGGUUUCUUAAGUCUGAUGUGAAAGCCCACGGCUUAACCGUGGAGGGUCAUUGGAAACUGGUCGACUUGAGUGCAGAAGAGGGAAGUGGAAUUCCAUGUGUAGCGGUGAGAUGCGUAGAGAUAUGUAGGAACACCAGUGGCGAAGGCGGGUCUCUGGGCAGUAACUGACGCUGAGGAGCGAAAGCAUGGGUAGCGAACAGGAUUAGAUA